RNAcentral lists this long non-coding RNA (587 nucleotides) under Nicotiana benthamiana. Its description in RNAcentral is "long non-coding RNA (NBEN_LNC037876)". The record is from RNAcentral. Lineage: Eukaryota; Viridiplantae; Streptophyta; Magnoliopsida; Solanales; Solanaceae.
GAGGCGGCGAUCCCAGUAGCCGCCGCCUCUGAAGCAGAAGCAACAACAACUGCUCCUGUUGAGGUGAAGGAGAAAGAGAUAGUUGUUGAAGCAGAAGCAAAGAAAGAGGAAGAACCAGCACCAGCACCAGCACCAGCACCUGCACCUGCACCUGCACCUGCACCUGCACCUGCACCUGCGGCGGCACCUGCAGCUGAGGUGGCACCUGCUGAGGUAGCACCUGCAGCUGACGUGGCACCUGCCAAGGUGGAAGAAGCACCUGCAGCAGUAGCAGCACCAGAACCACCAAAAGCUUGAUGAAUCUUUCAAUUUGUUUGUCUCUCUGUGUAAGAGUUGAUUUUUUAUUUUAUUUUUCUUUGUCUGUUGAUUUUUCUGUGUUUUGUGGUCACUGUAUAAGAAAGAAGACAAAAACAUGAUUUGUUAUAUUUUUUGUUUGUGUUUUUCUCCCUUCUCUCUUUCUCGUGUUAGUUUGUACUUUGUACAAUAUUCUAUGUACAUUUUUCAAAGUUUUUCCUUUUGAUUCUUCAAUACUAUAAAAUGUGCCUUGAUAUAUAUGGUUUCUCAUUUCCUUUUUUCUCAGCUGACUU